GCCCCCGUAGCUCAGCGGAUAGAGCGGCCGCCUUCUAAGCGGAAGGUCCCGGGUUCGAUUCCUGGCGGGGGCGCCA
RNAcentral lists this transfer RNA (76 nucleotides) under Candidatus Dormiibacterota bacterium. Its description in RNAcentral is "tRNA-Arg". It matches the Rfam family "tRNA". Rfam says of the family: Transfer RNA (tRNA) molecules are approximately 80 nucleotides in length. Their secondary structure includes four short double-helical elements and three loops (D, anti-codon, and T loops). Further hydrogen bonds mediate the characteristic L-shaped molecular structure. tRNAs have two regions of fundamental functional importance: the anti-codon, which is responsible for specific mRNA codon recognition, and the 3' end, to which the tRNAs corresponding amino acid is attached (by aminoacyl-tRNA synthetases). tRNAs cope with the degeneracy of the genetic code in two manners: having more than one tRNA (with a specific anti-codon) for a particular amino acid; and 'wobble' base-pairing, i.e. permitting non-standard base-pairing at the 3rd anti-codon position. Lineage: Bacteria; Bacillati; Candidatus Dormiibacterota. The record is from RNAcentral.